RNAcentral lists this ribosomal RNA (465 nucleotides) under uncultured bacterium. RNAcentral's name for it is "partial 16S ribosomal RNA". It matches the Rfam family "Bacterial small subunit ribosomal RNA", at positions 338 to 795 of the family's 1533-position model. The record is from RNAcentral.
CCUACGGGGGGCAGCAGUGGGGAAUAUUGCGCAAUGGGCGAAAGCCUGACGCAGCGACGCCGCGUGAGGGAUGAAGGUCUUCGGAUCGUAAACCUCUGUCAGCAGGGAAGAACGGUCACUGUGCUAAUCAGCAGUGAAUUGACGGUACCUGCAAAGGAAGCACCGGCUAACUCCGUGCCAGCAGCCGCGGUAAUACGGAGGGUGCGAGCGUUAAUCGGAAUUACUGGGCGUAAAGCGCUCGUAGGCGGUAGGUCAAGUCAAGGGUGAAAUCCCCGCGCUCAACGUGGGAACUGCCUUUGAAACUGGCAAACUGGAGUGUGUGAGAGGAUAGUGGAAUUCCAGGUGUAGGAGUGAAAUGCGUAGAUAUCUGGAGGAACAUCAGUGGCGAAGGCGACUAUCUGGCACAUAACUGACGCUGAGGAGCGAAAGCGUGGGUAGCAAACAGGAUUAGAUACCCGGGUAGUC